This 481-nucleotide ribosomal RNA is filed under the name Streptococcus sp. oral taxon 064. RNAcentral's name for it is "bacterial SSU rRNA". It matches the Rfam family "Bacterial small subunit ribosomal RNA", at positions 28 to 485 of the family's 1533-position model. The record is from RNAcentral. Lineage: Bacteria; Bacillati; Bacillota; Bacilli; Lactobacillales; Streptococcaceae.
GACGAACGCUGGCGGCGUGCCUAAUACAUGCAAGUAGAACGCUGAAGAGAGGAGCUUGCUCUUCUUGGAUGAGUUGCGAACGGGUGAGUAACGCGUAGGUAACCUGCCUGGUAGCGGGGGAUAACUAUUGGAAACGAUAGCUAAUACCGCAUAAUAGUAGAUGUUGCAUGACAUUUGCUUAAAAGGUGCAAUUGCAUCACUACCAGAUGGACCUGCGUUGUAUUAGCUAGUUGGUGAGGUAACGGCUCACCAAGGCAACGAUACAUAGCCGACCUGAGAGGGUGAUCGGCCACACUGGGACUGAGACACGGCCCAGACUCCUACGGGAGGCAGCAGUAGGGAAUCUUCGGCAAUGGACGGAAGUCUGACCGAGCAACGCCGCGUGAGUGAAGAAGGUUUUCGGAUCGUAAAGCUCUGUUGUAAGAGAAGAAACGAGUGUGAGAGUGGAACGUUACACCACUGUAGGCGAGUUCACUUACCA